Dreissena polymorpha is the source of this 498-nucleotide long non-coding RNA. RefSeq lists it as uncharacterized. NCBI's taxonomy places the organism in Eukaryota, Metazoa, Mollusca, Bivalvia, Myida, Dreissenidae. The record is from RefSeq and is a predicted model, not a curated record. The transcript has 2 exons.
CAGAAGAAUUUUAGAACAUAUGAUAACGGAAAUGUCAACUAACAUUCUAUUGACGAGACUGUCGUAAUGAUGGGUCGUAGCCUGGCAUCAAGUUUGUCGUGAAAUUUGUGUUGUGUUUCUUGUGUCUUGGCAAAGCAUGUGAAUGGCCGAUGUUAACCUCAUGGGCAUGAUUUAAACAGACCUGUUGAGGACCACUUUACCCUGCUACACACGAUACAUAAAACAUCAGAGCGUCGUUAUUUAAUAGGAGUAAUGUUUUAAGUUUUUGUUUUAAAAACCUGUUGUGUUUUUCGCUGGCUACAUACAUGUGGAACUAUUUGAAAUACUAACUAUAAAUGUCACAUGAAAGAAAAGUUGGUGGAAGACGUACACCACACGACGCAUAAUAGGCCAUACCAAACGCUUAAACGUGGACGUUGUGCACAGGUGAGCGAAAAUCCGUAUAUAAUCUUGUAAGUAUUGUGAAAUGAAAAUACAAUAAAGCAGUAUUAUAUGUUA